Molecule: long non-coding RNA, 549 nt
Organism: Zingiber officinale
Lineage: Eukaryota; Viridiplantae; Streptophyta; Magnoliopsida; Zingiberales; Zingiberaceae
Exons: 3
Source: RefSeq, a predicted model, not a curated record
UACCUCUCGGCACUCACCACCACCAGCCGUAGGGAUCCUCUCCACCUCUCUGCACUGACCAUUGCCGGCCGCACGACUCCACUCUGCCUCUCCGCACUCGCCGUCGUCUGCUACAAGACUUCCUUCCAUCUCUCCGUAUCAUAGGACCACAGCAAGAGUAAGCAAGCCCUUUGUUAACCACUCCACACUCUACAUCAAGCCAAAAGCUCAAAGCCAAAGGAAAUGCGAAUGGAGUUGUAUGGCUUGUGGUAUAUUUAUAGGCAAAAGGAUACAUAUAUAACGGACACUUCAGCAACUUGUGCACUUGCCUUCAAAUUACAUUCAAGCAUAUUAAAAUCUGAAUUUGGAGUCAUCAAAGAUUUUGCUGCUUGGAGUCCACUCUGCUUUGCAUCAUGACUAUAUUUGCAAGUAUUGCUAAAGUAAUUUCAAGCGAGGGUUCCAUAUUUGCUGGAAACUGACAAGGCUACAGUGGAAAUGGAGUGCAUGGAAGAAGGAUAUCUUGCCAAGAUAAUACAUGGAGAUGGGUCCAAAGAGAUAAAAGUUGGUGAG